Molecule: non-coding RNA, 2790 nt
Organism: Peromyscus maniculatus bairdii (prairie deer mouse)
Lineage: Eukaryota; Metazoa; Chordata; Mammalia; Rodentia; Cricetidae
Source: RefSeq, a predicted model, not a curated record
GACCAGUGGGGGCUCCACAUAGCCCUCCUGGCCAGAAGGGACAUCCACGAGGACCAGCCCGUGAUGAAAAAUAUUCCACCAAGAGGCGAUCUUCAUUAGGUUAUGCUAAAUGUUUUCGGAGGUCAAGAAUGCUGAGUUCAACUUCCACCAUGACCCACAAGCUAGCUGGGCGACCUUUGGUGGAGACCUGUCUCUCACAGAUUGCUUCUGAGGUCCUGUUAAGAGGCUGUGACCUCUGUUAAGCACAACAGCCCUGAGGUGACACCUUGGUCACUCUGAGUUUUCCUUUCCCUGUUCUAACAAUGACUCACUGUGACAGGGAAGGACAGCUGGGGAGAGGCAGUGGGUAGAGCUGGUCUAGAAGGGACCUGGCUGAGAAGAAGGCUGGAGCACCAGUCCUUGCCGACCACUGGGUAGUCUGAUGGCCCUUGGGUGUUGGGCAGCCAGAGAUCUGGACAGGGGUGGUCUCUGGAACAUCCUGUACCUGGCAUUCCAUUUCCAGACCAAAAAGACGGGUCAUUUGUUUAGUUUUGAAUCUGCUGUUUGCAGCCUGUGGGAUACAAAAGUGGACACAAGCUAACUAACGCAGCUCCACGCUCUGGGACUCCUAACAAGCCUCCUUUCUGGAGCCUGGCUGGAGUCCACCCAAGAUGGUGAGAGGGUUUAAUAAUAUGGACUUCACCGGCUAUAGUGAAGAUCAGCCGAGAUAAGGACUGUGAAGGGAAAGAAAGGAGUGGAGGAGCCGGGAGUCCAUGGCCUAGAAGACCCUCGAGGGAAGAGCUGCAGGAUCCAUGCCACCCAGACCUGGAUGCCACCUCCCAAGACAGUAGCAAUUAUGGCAUUCAAACAGUUGACACCAAUUAGAGUAUGGUGGCUGCACUGGUGCCUAGGCUUUGCAUAUCUAAAUGGACUGACAGAUGCUGACCCAUAGGGCCACCAGCCUUGCCAGCUCUCAGCUGUUCCUGUGGCACCAAUUUUCAGAGCCAAAUUACUGCCACGGCCUGGCUGGCUUGCAGCAUAGAACCGUGUCCACUAGACAGAGCUAUUUGCGUCUCCUGGGCCCUAGACAGUUCUGCUGGGCAGGGCACACAGCGGGUAAUGCUGCCCUUCAGGGUGUGUGUGGUCCUUCUGGGAAGCAGCGCCAGGGUCUCCCAUCUGGUGCAGGGCACCCUCUGUGCACUUCAGAGCAGUCAAGUUCAUCCUAUCUACCCACAGGGAGAGGUGACAUCCUUUCUACCCCUAAUGGCGCUGGGGAGCUACCCCAGGGUCCUGUGAGGGAUGGAAUUCCCUGAAGUAGACUAAACACAGGUCACUCCCCUCCCCGCCAAGGGAGGCGUGCUUAACAACACAUCUUUCAAGAGUGUGCUGGCAUGCUGACCACAAUGCAAGGAUCCUGGCUAGAGAAAGCUCCUGGAGAUGCGUACAGCGUGUGUCUACGCGGUUGCCAAGGUGCCCAGCAGGUCGGGAGGCAUGGAGUCUGGUUUUCCUGUCCUGGUUAGUUCUUCCGCAAGCUAGCUUAGGUCCUGUAAGGGCAGCUCGCUUGUUCUUCUGCCCCCAGCUUACUACCAGCCGGCUUUGCCUCAACACCUUCUCCAUCCUGUGGCUGCCAGCACCUGGUCCAGCCUAGAAGCUGCAGAGGGCUGUGAUGGGAGUGAUAGGCCACCAGGCUGUCCUGCUGUCCCCAGCCUGACUGGAGGAAAGGGGGGGUCACUUGGAAAGGAGCUUUCUCAGACUGUUUCCUUUUUAAUUAAUAUUAUUAUUUUUUUGAGACAGGGUCAUACUAUGUAGACGAAGAUGGCUUUGAAUUCAGAGUUCCAUCCGCCUCUGCCUCCUGAGUGCUAGAUUAAAGGCACGCAGCCAGCAGACCAUGUUUUCUUAAAGCGACUCUGUCCUUCUCAACACAGAGAGCAAAGCUCCCGAGAGUCCCAUCAUCCCCUCCAGCCUGUCAACCUGACAAUCAUCUCUUAGGCGCAUCUCCAUCCUCUUUUCCCCACAUUGUGAUAAAUAACUGGGAAACUGCAUGUUCCCUUUACUUCCCCACACCCCCACCUAAGAUGUGGGGUCCUCCCCACUGUUCAAACAGCCUCAGUAGGUCUAGGACUUCCCUGAAGAGCUGGGGCUGCAGCUGGGAUGGGGUGGAUAAGGUCCUCUUGACAUCAUCCCAAGCCCACAUUUCCUGGACACCCCACUGCUUCCUGGGAGGGGUGCCCAUCCUCUGGCUGCAAGGAGCCCAAAGGUGGCUGUCCUACUUUCUAGUCUUGGCCCAUUUAAGUCUCAGCCAUGCUCCAGGCCUGGUGUCUCCUCUGAAAGCCCAGCUUCUGCAGGGACAUCAGGCAGCCAUUCCUGGCUAUGUCUCUUGUCAGUCCUGACUCAACCAUCAGGACCCAAGAACCCAGAGUCUAAGCUUCCUCCUUCAAGAUUCCAGAUGUUGCUACUGUGUGGCUAGGGGCUUGGUCUUGACAAAGUCAAGGAUGCAGGCACCAAGUGCUCCGAGUGGAGGCAUGGCAGGGAUCCCCUCGGGCCCUAGCAUCCUCUCUGUGUUUUCUGGUCCUGGGUUGGUUGUGUUAGUCAUUGGCCAUGCCUAGGCAAACACUCAGCUUGGAUGUGAGGUGGGAGCAGUUGACAUUAGCUGUCAGGGCUUUGCAGUGAGUGUGGACAGAGCAGGUUUGAGGCCCUUUUACUGGGACUCUGCACAGGCCAGCCUGCUCCCAGGCUGUGCAUCCUCCUUCCUCGCCAUAGUGAGUACUGAGUGCCCCGUUGGCCCCCUGACAGAAAGUACAUGGUGUCAGC